This is a non-coding RNA of Leptonychotes weddellii (Weddell seal), 1013 nucleotides long. NCBI's taxonomy places the organism in Eukaryota, Metazoa, Chordata, Mammalia, Carnivora, Phocidae. The record is from RefSeq and is a predicted model, not a curated record.
ACUAAGGAGUAUUUUCUCAGGUGUAAAGUGAAUUUGUCUUCCCGUGUCUGUUGUCUCCAGGUCAUCAAUGCUAACCUAUUGUUGGAUGACAUAUUUUGCCUAUCACUCUUACCUGUUAGCUUUUCUUCUGAGUGGUAGUGCCUAUGGUUACUUUAUCAGAAAUAGCCCCCAUUUAAAAAGACCCUUAUACCAGCAGUCUCAGAGUCAUCAUUGUUGAGUGUUAACUUUUUCUGUAUCACGGCAUAUGUGAAAGGAUUGAGACCCUGACAGUAACAGUGGCUCGCCACAACAGUGAUGCUCACACAGGAAGGGUGUAGGGUAGACAUUCUCCAACAGGCCUUUCCUUUUUCUCUUCCUCCUCCUCCUAUCCAUUGGGAGUCACCAAUAUCACUGUUUGUAGUAUGUGGUAUAUAUUUCUGUUUCUGAUAUGAAUUAAACAGGAUCCCUCACUUGUUUCUUCAAAAAUAAUGUCAACCUUCACAUUUAAUUUGUGAAGUCUCUCAUUUGUAAGUGAAAUUGGGUGUUUUUUUGGGGGGGGGUUGGUCUAAAAAAGUAAUUAUUUGUGGAUAGGCAAAAGUGGUCUCUUCUUCCAAGAAGCCUCUUUCUCAUUCCUGACUCACAGCGCAUAACAGCAGUCUUGAAGUGGCCAUUCUCAUUCAAGGUUACCAAUAUUUUCCCUUCCCUUAGGAGUCCACACCUUGCUCACCACUCAUCUCAGUGCCAUUCUCACAGAGAGCCACAGUGUAGUGCAGGAUUCCAUCCAGGUUGCCGUGGACCAGGCCUUGGAACAGCAUCACCAGGCUACCAAGGAUCAUCAGAAAUUGCAGGUCUCACUCUCAGUGGCUGUGAAUUCCAUAAUGAGUAUCGUGACUGGAAGCACCAGCAGUAACUUCCGAAAGAUCUGUCUCGGUGCCCUUCAAGCAGCUGACACUCAAGAGUUUGGGACCAAACUGCAUAAAUCAUUUCAUGAGAUCACCCGGCACCGAUUUCUUCCCUACUGCUCAUGUGAGAUG